CUUUAAGUAGAAAUUAGGAAAUUAUUUAGUUUAUGAACAAAAGUAUUGAGAAACAAUGACCAUUUAACUAGACAUAUCUGAUUUUUGAUUCAAAAUUAUAAAUUUUAAAAACAUUUAUAAAAGUUCAAUUAAAUACCACUUCAUCUGAUCCAUAAUAACUGUCGUAGUUUUAAACUACCUAAUUUAAAUUUUGAAUGGGAGCCAGUACAUGUUUUUAGUUUUAAUCUGUGAAAGUCUGAGGUAAUACUUUGAGCCCAUCCUUCAUUUUCUUACAAGAUUCGCCACUGCACCCUGUCAUGUUGAGCUGGAUCCGCCACUGCCAUAGAGAUGUGUGCAAAAGAGUGGCCACAAGAAGAGAAGAGAGAGCAGCUAGGUUCAAGUCAAGUCAAUGAGUGAGUUGUGUGAGAGGCAUGAAUGAUGUAUCGUUUUCUCUGUAUAUGUAAUAUAUCGUUUCAGUUGAGCAAUAUGUAUGUGUAAUACCUCAUGCCAUGAUUAUCACCCAAAAAAAGAUAAAAAUUAAAUCAAAAUUUGACGCCCAAUCUAGAAACACAAAAAUUAAAAUACUAUAAAAAGUAGCUAGUUCUUGUUUUUUUUCACGCCAGCUAGUUAUAUUGACGGAAUUCAGUCCAUUAACACAAUGAGCUAUUUUUUCCUCAAACACAUAUUUCGUUUUUUUUGCGAGAUAACCACAUAUUACCUUUGGUCCCUAAGUUCUUUAAGAUAAUACAUAUUUUUUUAAAACUGUAGCAACUUCUAAACAGAAAGAAUAC
Molecule: long non-coding RNA, 770 nt
Filed under: Hordeum vulgare
Lineage: Eukaryota; Viridiplantae; Streptophyta; Magnoliopsida; Poales; Poaceae
Description: long non-coding RNA (HVUL_LNC017084)
Source: RNAcentral